Molecule: ribosomal RNA, 163 nt
Filed under: uncultured bacterium
Lineage: Bacteria
Description: partial 16S ribosomal RNA
Rfam family: Bacterial small subunit ribosomal RNA
Source: RNAcentral
UAGUAUCGAGCGCGUCUUGUGGAGCACUGCCGCGUGAGUGAUGACGUUCUUCGGAUCUUAAAACUCUGUUGUAAGGGAAGAACACGUACGGGAGUAACUGCCCGUGCCUUGACGGUACCUUAUUAGAAAGCCACGGCUAACUACGUGCCAGCGCCGCGGUAAU